GGUUAAGCGACUAAGCGUACACGGUGGAUGCCCUGGCAGUCAGAGGCGAUGAAGGACGUGCUAAUCUGCGAUAAGCGUCGGUGAGGUGAUAUGAACCGUUAUAACCGGCGAUUUCCGAAUGGGGAAACCCAGUGUGUUUCGACACACUAUCAUUAACUGAAUCCAUAGGUUAAUGAGGCGAACCGGGGGAACUGAAACAUCUAAGUACCCCGAGGAAAAGAAAUCAACCGAGAUUCCCCCAGUAGCGGCGAGCGAACGGGGAGGAGCCCAGAGUCUGAAUCAGUGUGUGUGUUAGUGGAAGCGUCUGGAAAGGCGUGCGAUACAGGGUGACAGCCCCGUACACAAAAAUGCACAUAUUGUGAGCUCGAUGAGUAGGGCGGGACACGUGGUAUCCUGUCUGAAUAUGGGGGGACCAUCCUCCAAGGCUAAAUACUCCUGACUGACCGAUAGUGAACCAGUACCGUGAGGGAAAGGCGAAAAGAACCCCGGCGAGGGGAGUGAAAAAGAACCUGAAACCGUGUACGUACAAGCAGUGGGAGCCUCUUAAUGGGGUGACUGCGUACCUUUUGUAUAAUGGGUCAGCGACUUAUAUUCUGUAGCAAGGUUAACCGAAUAGGGGAGCCGAAGGGAAACCGAGUCUUAACUGGGCGUUAAGUUGCAGGGUAUAGACCCGAAACCCGGUGAUCUAGCCAUGGGCAGGUUGAAGGUUGGGUAACACUAACUGGAGGACCGAACCGACUAAUGUUGAAAAAUUAGCGGAUGACUUGUGGCUGGGGGUGAAAGGCCAAUCAAACCGGGAGAUAGCUGGUUCUCCCCGAAAGCUAUUUAGGUAGCGCCUCGUGAAUUCAUCUCCGGGGGUAGAGCACUGUUUCGGCAAGGGGGUCAUCCCGACUUACCAACCCGAUGCAAACUGCGAAUACCGGAGAAUGUUAUCACGGGAGACACACGGCGGGUGCUAACGUCCGUCGUGAAGAGGGAAACAACCCAGACCGCCAGCUAAGGUCCCAAAGUCAUGGUUAAGUGGGAAACGAUGUGGGAAGGCCCAGACAGCCAGGAUGUUGGCUUAGAAGCAGCCAUCAUUUAAAGAAAGCGUAAUAGCUCACUGGUCGAGUCGGCCUGCGCGGAAGAUGUAACGGGGCUAAACCAUGCACCGAAGCUGCGGCAGCGACACUAUGUGUUGUUGGGUAGGGGAGCGUUCUGUAAGCCUGUGAAGGUGGCCUGUGAGGGUUGCUGGAGGUAUCAGAAGUGCGAAUGCUGACAUAAGUAACGAUAAAGCGGGUGAAAAGCCCGCUCGCCGGAAGACCAAGGGUUCCUGUCCAACGUUAAUCGGGGCAGGGUGAGUCGACCCCUAAGGCGAGGCCGAAAGGCGUAGUCGAUGGGAAACAGGUUAAUAUUCCUGUACUUGGUGUUACUGCGAAGGGGGGACGGAGAAGGCUAUGUUGGCCGGGCGACGGUUGUCCCGGUUUAAGCGUGUAGGCUGGUUUUCCAGGCAAAUCCGGAAAACCAAGGCUGAGGCGUGAUGACGAGGCACUACGGUGCUGAAGCGACAAAUGCCCUGCUUCCAGGAAAAGCCUCUAAGCAUCAGGUAACAUCAAAUCGUACCCCAAACCGACACAGGUGGUCAGGUAGAGAAUACCAAGGCGCUUGAGAGAACUCGGGUGAAGGAACUAGGCAAAAUGGUGCCGUAACUUCGGGAGAAGGCACGCUGAUAUGUAGGUGAAGCGACUUGCUCGUGGAGCUGAAAUCAGUCGAAGAUACCAGCUGGCUGCAACUGUUUAUUAAAAACACAGCACUGUGCAAACACGAAAGUGGACGUAUACGGUGUGACGCCUGCCCGGUGCCGGAAGGUUAAUUGAUGGGGUUAGCGGUAACGCGAAGCUCUUGAUCGAAGCCCCGGUAAACGGCGGCCGUAACUAUAACGGUCCUAAGGUAGCGAAAUUCCUUGUCGGGUAAGUUCCGACCUGCACGAAUGGCGUAAUGAUGGCCAGGCUGUCUCCACCCGAGACUCAGUGAAAUUGAACUCGCUGUGAAGAUGCAGUGUACCCGCGGCAAGACGGAAAGACCCCGUGAACCUUUACUAUAGCUUGACACUGAACAUUGAGCCUUGAUGUGUAGGAUAGGUGGGAGGCUUUGAAGUGUGGACGCCAGUCUGCAUGGAGCCGACCUUGAAAUACCACCCUUUAAUGUUUGAUGUUCUAACGUUGGCCCGUAAUCCGGGUUGCGGACAGUGUCUGGUGGGUAGUUUGACUGGGGCGGUCUCCUCCUAAAGAGUAACGGAGGAGCACGAAGGUUGGCUAAUCCUGGUCGGACAUCAGGAGGUUAGUGCAAUGGCAUAAGCCAGCUUGACUGCGAGCGUGACGGCGCGAGCAGGUGCGAAAGCAGGUCAUAGUGAUCCGGUGGUUCUGAAUGGAAGGGCCAUCGCUCAACGGAUAAAAGGUACUCCGGGGAUAACAGGCUGAUACCGCCCAAGAGUUCAUAUCGACGGCGGUGUUUGGCACCUCGAUGUCGGCUCAUCACAUCCUGGGGCUGAAGUAGGUCCCAAGGGUAUGGCUGUUCGCCAUUUAAAGUGGUACGCGAGCUGGGUUUAGAACGUCGUGAGACAGUUCGGUCCCUAUCUGCCGUGGGCGCUGGAGAACUGAGGGGGGCUGCUCCUAGUACGAGAGGACCGGAGUGGACGCAUCACUGGUGUUCGGGUUGUCAUGCCAAUGGCACUGCCCGGUAGCUAAAUGCGGAAGAGAUAAGUGCUGAAAGCAUCUAAGCACGAAACUUGCCCCGAGAUGAGUUCUCCCUGACUCCUUGAGGGUCCUGAAGGAACGUUGAAGACGACGACGUUGAUAGGCCGGGUGUGUAAGCGCAGCGAUGCGUUGAGCUAACCGGUACUAAUGAACCGUGAGGCUUAACCUUAC
Molecule: ribosomal RNA, 2906 nt
Filed under: Escherichia coli KD1
Lineage: Bacteria; Pseudomonadati; Pseudomonadota; Gammaproteobacteria; Enterobacterales; Enterobacteriaceae
Description: bacterial LSU rRNA
Rfam family: Bacterial large subunit ribosomal RNA
Source: RNAcentral